ACGCGUGAGGAACCUGCCUCAAAGAGGGGGACAACAGUUGGAAACGACUGCUAAUACCGCAUAAGCCCACGGCUCGGCAUCGAGCAGAGGGAAAAGGAGCAAUCCGCUUUGAGAUGGCCUCGCGUCCGAUUAGCUAGUUGGUGAGGUAACGGCCCACCAAGGCGACGAUCGGUAGCCGGACUGAGAGGUUGAACGGCCACAUUGGGACUGAGACACGGCCCAGACUCCUACGGGAGGCAGCAGUGGGGAAUAUUGCACAAUGGGGGAAACCCUGAUGCAGCGACGCCGCGUGGAGGAAGAAGGUCUUCGGAUUGUAAACUCCUGUUGUUGAGGAAGAUAAUGACGGUACUCGACAAGGAAGUGACGGCUAACUACGUGCCAGCAGCCGCGGUAAAACGUAGGUCACAAGCGUUGUCCGGAAUUACUGGGUGUAAAGGGAGCGCAGGCGGGAGAACAAGUUGGAAGUGAAAUCCAUGGGCUCAACCCAUGAACUGCUUUCAAAACUGUUUUUCUUGAGUAGUGCAGAGGUAGGCGGAAUUCCCGGUGUAGCGGUGGAAUGCGUAGAUAUCGGGAGGAACACCAGUGGCGAAGGCGGCCUACUGGGCACCAACUGACGCUGAGGCUCGAAAGUGUGGGUAGCAAACAGGAUUAGAUACCCUGGUAGUCCACACCGUAAACGAUGAUUACUAGGUGUUGGAGGAUUGACCCCUUCAGUGCCGCAGUUAACACAAUAAGUAAUCCACCUGGGGAGUA
RNAcentral lists this ribosomal RNA (753 nucleotides) under uncultured bacterium. Its description in RNAcentral is "bacterial SSU rRNA". It matches the Rfam family "Bacterial small subunit ribosomal RNA", at positions 113 to 882 of the family's 1533-position model. The record is from RNAcentral.